AUACGGAGGAUCCGAGCGUUAUCCGGAUUUAUUGGGUUUAAAGGGUGCGCAGGCGGGAGAUUAAGUCGGCGGUGAAAUUUUGCAGCUCAACUGUAAAAGUGCCCUCGAAACUGGUUUCCUUGAGUGUAGAUGAAGUAGGCGGAAUUUGUGGUGUAGCGGUGAAAUGCAUAGAUAUCACGAGGAACUCCGAUUGCGCAGGCAGCUUACUAAACUACUACUGACGCUCAGGCACGAAGGCGUGGGGAUCAAACAGGAUUAGAUACCCUGGUAGUCCACGCAGUAAACGAUGAUUACUAGCUGUUUGCGAUACAAUGUAAGCGGCUGAGCGAAAGCGUUAAGUAAUCCACCUGGGGAGUACGUUCGCAAGAAUGAAACUCAAAGGAAUUGACGGGG
RNAcentral lists this ribosomal RNA (393 nucleotides) under uncultured bacterium. RNAcentral describes it as "partial 16S ribosomal RNA". It matches the Rfam family "Bacterial small subunit ribosomal RNA", at positions 523 to 918 of the family's 1533-position model. The record is from RNAcentral.